This is a long non-coding RNA of Oncorhynchus keta (chum salmon), 625 nucleotides long. RefSeq lists it as uncharacterized. Lineage: Eukaryota; Metazoa; Chordata; Actinopteri; Salmoniformes; Salmonidae. The record is from RefSeq and is a predicted model, not a curated record. The transcript has 3 exons.
GCAGGUAGCCUAGUGGUUAGAGGCAGGUAGCCUAGUAGUUAGAGGCAGGUAGCCUAGUGGUUAGAGGCAGGUAGCCUAGUGGUUAGAGGCAGGUAGCCUAGUGGUUAGAGGCAGGUAGCCUAGUGGUUAGAGGCAGGUAGCCUAGUAGUUAGAGGCAGGUAGCCUAGUGGUUAGAGGCAGGUAGCCUAGUGGUUAGAGGCAGGUAGCCUAGUGGUUAGAGGCAGGUAGCCUAGUGGUUAGAGGCAGGUAGCCUAGUGGUUAGAGGCAGGUAGCCUAGUGGUUAGAGGCAGGUAGCCUAGUAGUUAGAGGCAGGUAGCCUAGUAGUUAGAGGCAGGUAGCCUAGUGGUUAGAGGCAGGUAGCCUAGUGGUUAGAGGCAGGUAGCCUAGUGGUUAGAGGCAGGUAGCCUAGUGGUUAGAGGCAGGUAGCCUAGUAGUUAGAGGCAGGUAGCCUAGUAGUUAGAGGCAGGUAGCCUAGUGGUUAGAGGCAGGUAGCCUAGUAGUUAGAGGCAGGUAGCCUAGUGGUUAGAGGCAGGUAGCCUAGUGGUUAGAGGCAGGUAGCCUAGUGGUUAGAGGCAGGUAGCCUAGUGGUUAGAGGCAGGUAGCCUAGUAGUUAGAGGCAGGUAGC